Molecule: ribosomal RNA, 254 nt
Filed under: uncultured bacterium
Lineage: Bacteria
Description: partial 16S ribosomal RNA
Rfam family: Bacterial small subunit ribosomal RNA
Source: RNAcentral
UACAGAGACUGCAAGCGUUAUUCGGAUUCACUGGGCGUAAAGGGUGCGCAGGCGGUUGGGUGUGUCAGAUGUGAAAUCCCGACGGCUUAACCUCGGAACUGCGUCUGAAACUACUCGACUAGAGUACUGGAGAGGGAAACGGAAUUCACGGUGUAGCAGUGAAAUGCGUAGAUAUCGUGAGGAACACCAGAGGCGAAGGCGGUUUCCUGGACAGUUACUGACGCUCAGGCACGAAAGCAUGGGGAGCAAAAGGG